GCCGUACAACUUCUCUGCUACCUA
Molecule: non-coding RNA, 24 nt
Filed under: Arabidopsis thaliana (thale cress)
Lineage: Eukaryota; Viridiplantae; Streptophyta; Magnoliopsida; Brassicales; Brassicaceae
Source: RNAcentral